GAACCGUCCAAACGUUAUUCGGAAUCAUGGGGCUUAAAGGGGUGCGUAGGCGGCUUGGCAAGUUGGGUGUGAAAUCCCUCGGCUCAACCGAGGGAAUUGCGCUCAAAACUGCCUCGCUAGAGGGAGAUAGAGGUGAGCGGAACUUAUGGUGGAGCGGUGGAAUGCGUUGAUAUCAUAAGGAACACCUGUGGCGAAAGCGGCUCACUGGAUCUUUUCUGACGCUGAGGCACGAAAGCUAGGGUAGCGAACGGGAUUAGAUACCCCGGUAGUCCUAGCUGUAAACGAUGAGCACUGGGUUGGAGAGUCCUCCAUAGCUUUCCGGCCGAAGCGAAAGUGUUAAGUGCUCCGCCUGGGGAGUAUGGUCGCAAAGGCUGA
Molecule: ribosomal RNA, 375 nt
Filed under: uncultured organism
Description: partial 16S ribosomal RNA
Rfam family: Bacterial small subunit ribosomal RNA
Source: RNAcentral